UUUUAAACUGUAAACUUCACAGUUAAACAGUUAAAGCAAAUUCAUGAGGUGCACCAUGAGACUAGACCCACUUGGGUUGCCAUCUUUUCUAUUUAAUGCCAUAUAGGUUAGCUUAUUUGAAUUAAAACAAAAAAAAAUCCAUCUAAUGAAAGAAUGAAAUACGCGUAAGAAAUUAAAUUUUCUUAGUCUCACUCAUAUGACAAAUAAAGAAAAAGGUUCUUCACCUCCUGUUUUACCUGAUAAACACUCAGACUAUUAAGCUACUAUGUAGAUCAACUGUGAUCAAGGAAUUUAAUUGAUCACUCUUUUGAAAAUGUUUAAUGUAGUUGAGGUCCUUGAGGACGAUGAAUACCUGCAGACCCUUGCUUCUUUGUAUACAAGACCUGGUCUGCAAAAAUACCCAUUUUUUGGGCUGCAGUGCUUGUCUUCUGAACAUAUACAUUGCCCCUCCAGGGCACAGCCAUCGCCUUUCACAGCUUCUUUUCUUAAAAUUAAUAUCUCAUCUGACAAUUCACUAGAAAACAUGUUUUGAGGGUCUAAUAUCUUCUUUGCUGCAAGGAACUUGCUAAAAUUAGGAUACUUGCUCUGCACAUCCAAGAAUGCCAGGUUCCUAUUCUUAGCCCAAUGAGGUUUAGCCCCAUAUUUGAAGAAUGCCAUUUGCUCUACUUCUUCCCAAAUGUCUUGGUUUAAUCUUGGAGUUGAAGGAUCAUCAGCUCGAUAAUAGUUAAAAUCAAGAACCACAGAGUCCUCAGAUUGACCAAGAUAUGCUUGAGAAGCCUUGAUGAAUCGUAUCAGGAACCCAUUGUAGAUAUCAACCCCACAAAAAUUUUCUGGUUGAAGGUCUCUCAAUUUUUUAACAUCUUUGAUAAAAUCUCCAAACUUUGAAGCAGGAAAUAUUGCAGUUGUUUCGUAAAAGAAGAGCCCUUUAAUUCUUGGAUCCCAAGCACAAGAGGUAUCGAUUCUUGUUGCAGGGGAAUAUAAACAAGAACCUGAAGUCUGCAUUUUCCCCUGAUGACCCACUACUGGAUAGCCAGUAAAGAUUAGGCCAUUCUUCAAUCCAUUGGCUAUCAACUUCUUAAACCCCACAAAAGAAAUUGCCAAUAAGCACUUUCCAUUCACAUUAUUUGCUUUCUCCAACGAUUUCUCUGCUGCUCUAGUUGAUUGUGAUACCACAAUAGAAUUUGAUUGAAAUCCAAGAAAGUCGAAUUCUCCAUUACCGGAGGCAGUGAGAGGAACUCUGAAAUCAUAUCUAUAGACUGCUGUUUUCCUUGAUGGGUACCAAGUAAUAUCGCCAAAUUCAUAUUUCUUCCCAUGAUCUAUGAACAUAUCCUCUAUGUGAGCAUCAUCUGUGAAAUUGUAUGUUAUGCUUCUUUUGAAUGCAGGCUCCAGGGACAACUUCACCUUGGAGAUGACACCCAAUAAUCCUAUAGAUACUUUGGCUGCCUUAAGCAGAGGAUCUUGGGCUUCAAUUCUGAUAAUUUUUGCAUACCCUUCAGACUCCUUUGCAGGGACUACAAGACUAAGGCCAAUGACGUGAUCAUGGACAGCUCCACCUUUUCCCCACCAUGAGCUUCCAUGUGCUCCUGUGCUAAUAAGUCCCCCCACACUCACACCCUCCCAAUAUGGAGCUGCCACCAAGCUCAAUCCAGCUUCUUCAACUCUAUCAAUCAGCUCACGCAGACCCACUCCAGCAUCAGCUGUGACAGCUAAAUUAGCCACGUCAAUUUCAAUGACAGAGUUAUCAUUCAGUGUGCUUAUUAGCAUCGAAUUCUCAUACUGUGAACCAGGACAAGCCAACUUGGGUAUAGUGUGUGAAAAUCCGCUAACCACUUUAACCUUGAGUUUAUUUCUAUUAGCAUAUGCCACAGCCAAGCGUAGUUCUUCUUCAGAUGAAGGAUACGAGACAUUAGGAACAUUACAAGCCUUCCGAUCAUUCCAGGCACCAUAGGAGUUGUAAAGGGUGCAGCCAGAAUCAUUGCAUCGAAUUGGUGGGGGAGGUGGCAUGGCAAGGACAGCUAUUGGGGUUAGACCCCAAAGAAGAACAAGAUGCACGGCAAGUAGACACCAUGAGUAGACCAUUGAUCAGGCCCUGGAAAUUCUGAAUCAAAUAGAAAUUAGUUGCGCAAAGGCAGGCACAGUUGCUUCCUAUUUAAUGAAUUUUGGAAGGCAAGAGGUCAAUGCUUGGAAGGGAA
Molecule: unclassified non-coding RNA, 2192 nt
Filed under: Hevea brasiliensis (rubber tree)
Lineage: Eukaryota; Viridiplantae; Streptophyta; Magnoliopsida; Malpighiales; Euphorbiaceae
Source: RNAcentral